RNAcentral lists this non-coding RNA (162 nucleotides) under Hydrogenophaga sp. Its description in RNAcentral is "ZTP sequence". It matches the Rfam family "ZMP/ZTP riboswitch aptamer (pfl RNA motif)". From Rfam's summary of the family: Previously known as pfl RNA. The record is from RNAcentral. Lineage: Bacteria; Pseudomonadati; Pseudomonadota; Betaproteobacteria; Burkholderiales; Comamonadaceae.
AACGUGGUGCGCAACUGGCGAUAGGCGGCCAUCCGAUCAAGGAAUCGGCCGUUGACGUGGACACCCGACUGCCCUUUCCGGGCGGCUGCCGGGACAACCACUGGGAAGCGCACCGCCCGUGCCGUCAGGCCGGGCGUUCAGCCGUUCGCCUGGGCAGCCCUU